RNAcentral lists this transfer RNA (73 nucleotides) under Gadus morhua (Atlantic cod). RNAcentral's name for it is "tRNA-Tyr (GTA) (tRNA-Tyr-GTA-28-1)". It matches the Rfam family "tRNA". From Rfam's summary of the family: Transfer RNA (tRNA) molecules are approximately 80 nucleotides in length. Their secondary structure includes four short double-helical elements and three loops (D, anti-codon, and T loops). Further hydrogen bonds mediate the characteristic L-shaped molecular structure. tRNAs have two regions of fundamental functional importance: the anti-codon, which is responsible for specific mRNA codon recognition, and the 3' end, to which the tRNAs corresponding amino acid is attached (by aminoacyl-tRNA synthetases). tRNAs cope with the degeneracy of the genetic code in two manners: having more than one tRNA (with a specific anti-codon) for a particular amino acid; and 'wobble' base-pairing, i.e. permitting non-standard base-pairing at the 3rd anti-codon position. The record is from RNAcentral. Lineage: Eukaryota; Metazoa; Chordata; Actinopteri; Gadiformes; Gadidae.
ACUUCGAUAGCUUAGUUGGUAGAGCGGAGGACUGUAGAACCUUAGGUCGCUGGUUCAAAUCCGGCUCGAAGGA